RNAcentral lists this transfer RNA (73 nucleotides) under Gemmatimonas sp. SM23_52. Its description in RNAcentral is "tRNA-Lys". It matches the Rfam family "tRNA". From Rfam's summary of the family: Transfer RNA (tRNA) molecules are approximately 80 nucleotides in length. Their secondary structure includes four short double-helical elements and three loops (D, anti-codon, and T loops). RNAcentral also lists the same sequence under 1 other name. Lineage: Bacteria; Pseudomonadati; Gemmatimonadota; Gemmatimonadia; Gemmatimonadales; Gemmatimonadaceae. The record is from RNAcentral.
GACCGGGUAGCUCAGGUGGCAGAGCAGCGGACUUUUAAUCCGCAGGUCCUGGGUUCGAAUCCCAGCCCGGUCA